Molecule: ribosomal RNA, 700 nt
Filed under: uncultured Alphaproteobacteria bacterium
Lineage: Bacteria; Pseudomonadati; Pseudomonadota; Alphaproteobacteria
Description: bacterial SSU rRNA
Rfam family: Bacterial small subunit ribosomal RNA
Source: RNAcentral
AGCGGCGGACGGGUGAGUAACGCGUGGGAAUGUACCCUUCUCUAAGGAAUAGCCACUGGAAACGGUGAGUAAUACCUUAUACGCCCUUCGGGGGAAAGAUUUAUCGGAGAAGGAUCAGCCCGCGUUGGAUUAGAUAGUUGGUGGGGUAAUGGCCUACCAAGUCUACGAUCCAUAGCUGGUUUGAGAGGAUGAUCAGCCACACUGGGACUGAGACACGGCCCAGACUCCUACGGGAGGCAGCAGUGGGGAAUCUUAGACAAUGGGGGAAACCCUGAUCUAGCCAUGCCGCGUGAGUGAUGAAGGCCUUAGGGUCGUAAAGCUCUUUCGCCAGGGAUGAUAAUGACAGUACCUGGUAAAGAAACCCCGGCUAACUCCGUGCCAGCAGCCGCGGUAAUACGGAGGGGGUUAGCGUUGUUCGGAAUUACUGGGCGUAAAGCGCACGUAGGCGGACUAGUCAGUCAGAGGUGAAAUCCCAGGGCUCAACCCUGGAACUGCCUUUGAUACUGCUAGUCUUGAGUUCGAGAGAGGUGAGUGGAAUUCCGAGUGUAGAGGUGAAAUUCGUAGAUAUUCGGGGGAACACCAGUGGCGAAGGCGGCUCACUGGCUCGAUACUGACGCUGAGGUGCGAAAGUGUGGGGAGCAAACAGGAUUAGAUACCCUGGUAGUCCACACCGUAAACGAUGAAUGCCAGUCGUCGGGCA